CUACUUAUUUGGCAGGGGCGAUACCAUGAUCACGAAGGUGGUUUACCCAGGGAGAGGUUUAUCCAUUACACUCUGGAUGUGCUGAUGCCGGCAAUUUCCCCAAAUGUGGGAAACUCGACUGCAUAAUUGGUGGUAGUGGGGGACCAAAUUUUCACUCUCCCCUAU
Molecule: non-coding RNA, 165 nt
Organism: Erinaceus europaeus (western European hedgehog)
Lineage: Eukaryota; Metazoa; Chordata; Mammalia; Eulipotyphla; Erinaceidae
Source: Rfam